GUGCCAGCCGCCGCGGUAAUACGGAGGGUGCAAACGUUGCUCGGAAUUAUUGGGCGUAAAGCGCACGUAGGCGGUCCAGCAAGUCGGGUGUGAAAGCCCUCGGCUUAACCGAGGAAGUGCAUUCGAAACUAUUGGACUUGAAUACUGAAGAGGAUCGCGGAAUUCCCGGUGUAGAGGUGAAAUUCGUAGAUAUCGGGAGGAACACCAGUGGCGAAGGCGGCGAUCUGGGCAGAUAUUGACGCUGAUGUGCGAAAGCGUGGGGAGCAAACAGGAUUAGAUACCCGGGUAGUCC
This 292-nucleotide ribosomal RNA is filed under the name uncultured bacterium. RNAcentral's name for it is "partial 16S ribosomal RNA". It matches the Rfam family "Bacterial small subunit ribosomal RNA", at positions 505 to 796 of the family's 1533-position model. The record is from RNAcentral.